AGAAUCAACGCUGGCGGCGUGCCUAACACAUGCAAGUCGCACGAGAAAGGGACUUCGGUCCUAAGUACAGUGGCGCACGGGUGAGUAACACGUGAAUCAUCUACCUCCGAGUGGGGGAAUAACUGAGAGAAAUCUUAGCUAAUACCGCAUAACACUUACGAGUCAAAGCAGCAAUGCGCUUGGAGAGGAGUUCGCGGCAGAUUAGUUAGUUGGCGGGGUAAUGGCCCACCAAGACGAUGAUCUGUAUCCGGCCUGAGAGGGCGCACGGACACACUGGAACUGAAACACGGUCCAGACUCCUACGGGAGGCAGCAGUGGGGAAUUUUGCGCAAUGGGGGAAACCCUGACGCAGCAACGCCGCGUGGAGGAUGAAAUCCCUUGGGAUGUAAACUCCUUUCGAUAGGGAAGAUAAUGACGGUACCUAUAGAAGAAGCCCCGGCUAACUUCGUGCCAGCAGCCGC
This 461-nucleotide ribosomal RNA is filed under the name uncultured bacterium. RNAcentral describes it as "SSU rRNA". It matches the Rfam family "Bacterial small subunit ribosomal RNA", at positions 26 to 518 of the family's 1533-position model. The record is from RNAcentral.